This 490-nucleotide ribosomal RNA is filed under the name beta proteobacterium Z6. RNAcentral describes it as "bacterial SSU rRNA". It matches the Rfam family "Bacterial small subunit ribosomal RNA", at positions 379 to 862 of the family's 1533-position model. Lineage: Bacteria; Pseudomonadati; Pseudomonadota; Betaproteobacteria. The record is from RNAcentral.
AAGCCUGAUCCAGCCAUGCCGCGUGCAGGAUGAAGGCCUUCGGGUUGUAAACUGCUUUUGUACGGAACGAAAAGACUNUGGUUAAUACCUGGGGUUCAUGACGGUACCGUAAGAAUAAGCACCGGCUAACUACGUGCCAGCAGCCGCGGUAAUACGUAGGGUGCAAGCGUUAAUCGGAAUUACUGGGCGUAAAGCGUGCGCAGGCGGUUAUAUAAGACAGAUGUGAAAUCCCCGGGCUCAACCUGGGAACUGCAUUUGUGACUGUAUAGCUAGAGUACGGUAGAGGGGGAUGGAAUUCCGCGUGUAGCAGUGAAAUGCGUAGAUAUGCGGAGGAACACCGAUGGCGAAGGCAAUCCCCUGGACCUGUACUGACGCUCAUGCACGAAAGCGUGGGGAGCAAACAGGAUUAGAUACCCUGGUAGUCCACGCCCUAAACGAUGUCAACUGGUUGUUGGGUCUUCACUGACUCAGUAACGAAGCUAACGCGUGA